GGGUUGUGAGGUUAAGCGACUAAGCGUACACGGUGGAAUGCCCUGGCAGUCAGAGGCGAUGAAAGGGCGUGCUAAUCCUGCGAUAAGCGCCGGUAAGGUGAUAUGAACCGUUAUAACCGGCGAUACCCGAAUGGGGAAACCCAGUGUGAUUCGUCACACUAUCAUUAACUGAAUCCAUAGGUUAAUGAGGCGAACCGGGGGAACUGAAACAUCUAAGUACCCCGAGGAAAGAAAUCAACCGAGAUUCCCCCAGUAGCGGCGAGCGAACGGGGAGGAGCCCAGAGCCUGAAUCAGCAUGUGUGUUAGUGGAAGCGUCUGGAAAGGCGCGCGAUACAGGGUGACAGCCCCGUACACAAAAGCGCAUGUGCUGUGAGCUCGAUGAGUAGGGCGGGACACGUGGUAUCCUGUCUGAAUAUGGGGGGACCAUCCUCCAAGGCUAAAUACUCCUGACUGACCGAUAGUGAACCAGUACCGUGAGGGAAAGGCGAAAAGAACCCCGGCGAGGGGAGUGAAAAAGAACCUGAAACCGUGUACGUACAAGCAGUGGGAGCCACAGGUUUACCUGUGUGACUGCGUACCUUUUGUAUAAUGGGUCAGCGACUUAUAUUCUGUAGCAAGGUUAACCGUAUAGGGGAGCCGCAGGGAAACCGAGUCUUAACCGGGCGUUAAGUUGCAGGGUAUAGACCCGAAACCCGGUGAUCUAGCCAUGGGCAGGUUGAAGGUUGGGUAACACUAACUGGAGGACCGAACCGACUAAUGUUGAAAAAUUAGCGGAUGACCUGUGGCUGGGGGUGAAAGGCCAAUCAAACCGGGAGAUAGCUGGUUCUCCCCGAAAGCUAUUUAGGUAGCGCCUCGUGAAUUCAUCUCCGGGGGUAGAGCACUGUUUCGGCUAGGGGGCCAUCCCGGCUUACCAACCCGAUGCAAACUGCGAAUACCGGAGAAUGUUAUCACGGGAGACACACGGCGGGUGCUAACGUCCGUCGUGAAGAGGGAAACAACCCAGACCGCCAGCUAAGGUCCCAAAGUCAUGGUUAAGUGGGAAACGAUGUGGGAAGGCCCAGACAGCCAGGAUGUUGGCUUAGAAGCAGCCAUCAUUUAAAGAAAGCGUAAUAGCUCACUGGUCGAGUCGGCCUGCGCGGAAGAUGUAACGGGGCUAAACCAUGCACCGAAGCUGCGGCAGCGAACGUAUCACUUAAAGCGAUUCAGCGGGUUACGAUUGACGGAGCGAAGCGACGUCAAAGCGUAUACAAAGUCGAGUCGGUUUAAGGAUACGUUCGUUGGGUAGGGGAGCGUUCUGUAAGCCUGUGAAGGUGUGUCGUGAGGCAUGCUGGAGGUAUCAGAAGUGCGAAUGCUGACAUAAGUAACGAUAAAGCGGGUGAAAAGCCCGCUCGCCGGAAGACCAAGGGUUCCUGUCCAACGUUAAUCGGGGCAGGGUGAGUCGACCCCUAAGGCGAGGCCGAAAGGCGUAGUCGAUGGGAAACGGGUUAAUAUUCCCGUACUUGGUGUUACUGCGAAGGGGGGACGGAGAAGGCUAUGUUGGCCGGGCGACGGUUGUCCCGGUUUAAGCGUGUAGGCUGGUUUUCCAGGCAAAUCCGGAAAAUCAAGGCUGAGGCGUGAUGACGAGGCACUACGGUGCUGAAGCAACAAAUGCCCUGCUUCCAGGAAAAGCCUCUAAGCAUCAGGUAACAUCAAAUCGUACCCCAAACCGACACAGGUGGUCAGGUAGAGAAUACCAAGGCGCUUGAGAGAACUCGGGUGAAGGAACUAGGCAAAAUGGUGCCGUAACUUCGGGAGAAGGCACGCUGACACGUAGGUGAAGUGAUUUACUCAUGGAGCUGAAGUCAGUCGAAGAUACCAGCUGGCUGCAACUGUUUAUUAAAAACACAGCACUGUGCAAACACGAAAGUGGACGUAUACGGUGUGACGCCUGCCCGGUGCCGGAAGGUUAAUUGAUGGGGUCAGCGCAAGCGAAGCUCCUGAUCGAAGCCCCGGUAAACGGCGGCCGUAACUAUAACGGUCCUAAGGUAGCGAAAUUCCUUGUCGGGUAAGUUCCGACCUGCACGAAUGGCGUAAUGAUGGCCAGGCUGUCUCCACCCGAGACUCAGUGAAAUUGAACUCGCUGUGAAGAUGCAGUGUACCCGCGGCAAGACGGAAAGACCCCGUGAACCUUUACUAUAGCUUGACACUGAACAUUGAGCCUUGAUGUGUAGGAUAGGUGGGAGGCUUUGAAGUGUGGACGCCAGUCUGCAUGGAGCCGACCUUGAAAUACCACCCUUUAAUGUUUGAUGUUCUAACGUGGACCCGUAAUCCGGGUUGCGGACAGUGUCUGGUGGGUAGUUUGACUGGGGCGGUCUCCUCCUAAAGAGUAACGGAGGAGCACGAAGGUUGGCUAAUCCUGGUCGGACAUCAGGAGGUUAGUGCAAUGGCAUAAGCCAGCUUGACUGCGAGCGUGACGGCGCGAGCAGGUGCGAAAGCAGGUCAUAGUGAUCCGGUGGUUCUGAAUGGAAGGGCCAUCGCUCAACGGAUAAAAGGUACUCCGGGGAUAACAGGCUGAUACCGCCCAAGAGUUCAUAUCGACGGCGGUGUUUGGCACCUCGAUGUCGGCUCAUCACAUCCUGGGGCUGAAGUAGGUCCCAAGGGUAUGGCUGUUCGCCAUUUAAAGUGGUACGCGAGCUGGGUUUAGAACGUCGUGAGACAGUUCGGUCCCUAUCUGCCGUGGGCGCUGGAGAACUGAGGGGGGCUGCUCCUAGUACGAGAGGACCGGAGUGGACGCAUCACUGGUGUUCGGGUUGUCAUGCCAAUGGCACUGCCCGGUAGCUAAAUGCGGAAGAGAUAAGUGCUGAAAGCAUCUAAGCACGAAACUUGCCCCGAGAUGAGUUCUCCCUGAGACUUUAGGUCUCCUGAAGGAACGUUGAAGACGACGACGUUGAUAGGCCGGGUGUGUAAGCGCAGCGAUGCGUUGAGCUAACCGGUACUAAUGAACCGUGAGGCUUAACCUUACAACGCCGAAG
This 3011-nucleotide ribosomal RNA is filed under the name Salmonella enterica subsp. enterica serovar California. RNAcentral describes it as "23S ribosomal RNA". It matches the Rfam family "Bacterial large subunit ribosomal RNA". Lineage: Bacteria; Pseudomonadati; Pseudomonadota; Gammaproteobacteria; Enterobacterales; Enterobacteriaceae. The record is from RNAcentral.